This 465-nucleotide ribosomal RNA is filed under the name uncultured bacterium. Its description in RNAcentral is "bacterial SSU rRNA". It matches the Rfam family "Bacterial small subunit ribosomal RNA", at positions 36 to 518 of the family's 1533-position model. The record is from RNAcentral.
CUGGCGGCGUGCCUAACACAUGCAAGUCGAGCGAGGAGAUCCUUCGGGAUGAUCCUAGCGGCGGACGGGUGAGUAACACGUGGGCAACCUGCCUCAUAGAGAGGAAUAGCCUUCCGAAAGGGAGAUUAAUACCUCAUAACAUUGCAGUUUCGCAUGAAACAGCAAUUAAAGGAGCAAUCCGCUAUGAGAUGGGCCCGCGGCGCAUUAGCUAGUUGGUGAGGUAACGGCUCACCAAGGCGACGAUGCGUAGCCGACCUGAGAGGGUGAUCGGCCACAUUGGGACUGAGACACGGCCCAGACUCCUACGGGAGGCAGCAGUGGGGAAUAUUGCACAAUGGGGGAAACCCUGAUGCAAGCAACGCCGCGUGAGUGAUGACGGCCUUCGGGUUGUAAAGCUCUGUCUUCAGGGACGAUAAUGACGGUACCUGAGGAGGAAGCCACGGCUAACUACGUGCCAGCCGCAGC